UUCCGGAAGGCGCGGGGAGAGAGCCUGCGGUUGGCUCCCUAGAAGGAAAGCAAACCGGAAGAGAGUUGUGUUAAGUGUGCGGCAACGCAUGCAGCUAGUGCGCAGGAAGAAUCCGGGAAAGAGUGGAAGCUCGUAAUUUGAGUUUGUUGGUGCAAAACUGAAGAAACACAGCCAAUCAUUUAUUUAAGACCGCCUUGACGUUUCCCUCAGCUCAGUGACUGGUUACCCAAACUCCUACCUGAUGGCCUUGACACAUAUCUCAUUGGAGAGAGAGAUGUCACAUGGAUGCUUCUAGCUUCUGACAUUUACCUUACACUUGGCUUACUGCACUGCAGCAUCAAGAAAGACCUUUGAAAACUUACAGGAUAUGUACAGGACUAUUCAACAUCCACUGGGUCACAGGAAAAGCAGGAGAGUUCCAGAAAAACAUCUGCUUCAUUGACUACGCCAAAGCCUUUGACUGUGUGGAUCACAACAAACUGUGGAAAAUUCUUAAAGAGAUGGGAAUACCAGACCACUUGACCUGCCUCCUGAGAAAUCUGUAUGCAGGUUAAAAAGCAGCAGUUAGAACCAGACAUGGAACAGCAGACUGGUUCCAAAUCGGGAAAGGAGUACGUCAAGGCUGUAUAUUGUCACCCAGCUUAUUUAACUUAUAUGAAGAGUAUAUCAUACAAAAGCCUGGAUGAAGCACAAGCUGGAAUCAAGAUUGCUGGAAGAAAUAUCAAUAACCUCAGAUAUGCAGAUGACACCACCCUUAUGGCAGAAAGCAAAGAAGAACUAAAGAGCCUCUUGAUGAAAGUGAAAGAGGAGAGUGAAAAAGCUGGCUUAAAACUCAACAUUCAGGAAACUAAGAUCAUAGCAUCCAGUCCCAUCACUUCAUGUCAAAUUGAUGGGGGAAAAAAUGGAAACACAAUGAGAGACUUUAUUUUCUUGGCUCCAAAAUCACUGCAUAUGGUGACUGCAGCCAUGAAAUUAACAGAUGCUUGCUCCUUGAAAGAAAAGCUGUGACCAACCUAGACAGCAUAUUAAAAAGCAGAGUCAUUACUUUGCUGACAUAGGUCCCUCUAGUCAAAGCUAUGGUUUUUCCAGUAGUCAUGUAUGGAUGUGAGAGUUAGACUACAAAGAAAGCUGAACACUGAAGAAUUGAUGCUUUUGAACUGUGGUGUUGGAGAAGACUCUUGAGAGCCCCUUGGACUGAAAGGAGAUCAAACCAGUCAAUCCUAAAAUAAAUCAGUCCUGAAUAUUCAUUGGAAGGGCUGAUGCUGAAGCUGAACCUCCAAUACUUUGGCCACCUGAUGUGAAGAGCUGAUUCAUUGGAAAAGACAUUGAUGCUGGGAUAGAUUGAAGACAGGAGGAGAAGGGGACAACAGAGGAUGAGAUGGUUGGACAACAUCACCAAUUUAAUGGACAUAAGUUUGAGCAAGCUCCUGGAGUUGGCGAUGGACAAGGGGGCCUGGCGUGGUACAGUCCAUGAGGUCUCAAAGAGUCAUACACAACUUAGUAACUGAACUGAUUAAUUAAAAUUUUCAUGUAUCUUACUGGGUCUGUGUGAGAAAACAUCACUAAAUUAAAUGAAGAUAGUUAUAGGAAGUACAAACUGGGAAUUCCAUUAUUUAGUAUCUGCACAGUUCCUAUCUUUUUUUAGAACAAAUGACUUUGUUCAGCUUGAAUUACUGGAGGAUGCUAAUAAAUAGAACAGUUCUAAAAACAUACACUGAACAUCCUGUCAUGUGAAAACUUCAUAUUCUCUCACAGCAGAAGAAACGGUGAUGAAAAGCCAGUUCUGCAUUUUACAGUUAAAGCAAAUACAGCAGAGGAAAAAGGAAGGAAAACAAGUAUCCAAGAAUGAUGUCAAUCUCAAGAUACUGACUUAAUUAUUCUUGCUUAUCACUAGGGGAAAAAUGCUUUGUAUUCAUGGAUGUAUCAAUGAGAACUUAUGGAAUAGAACUUUUAAAGUGUAUUUUAUGCCUUAGUGUGAUUCAUUCAUGCGUUCCUUCAUUCAUCCUUUGAAUUAAUCAAACCUGCAUGAGCACUAAAUGAACAUCUUCAAUAUCCCCUCUUUGAGAGAUAUUCACAUUCACACUCCCGUGGUCAUCGGGCAGGCUGACCCCACUUUUCAUCCACAGCUGGCAAGCUCAAGGUGGGCACCUGACCCAAGGUAAGCUGUUCAGAAUUCAUUACAAUGAAUUUGGAACUAGCACUAGGAUUGCACUCAUACCUGGGAAUGUUUUUUGAACAGUUAAACUGUAAAAACUCAGUCAAGUUUUCUCCCAGGUUAUCUAGGGUGUAGCUGAAGCCGAUAAAAAUAUUGAAAAAAAAAUAUGACGGAGAAAAAGAUGAGGAGUGGAUAGUGUCAGUAAGUUUUGUUUUGUUUUUUGAUUUUCUAGGUUUCUUUGUUUUUGUUCAUUUUGUUGUUUUGUUUUUCUUUUAAAUAACAAACUGCAUUUUAGUUUCCAGUUGUGGAAUUUUUCCAAGAUAUUUUCAUACCAUUGUGUUUCCUGAUAUUGUGCCCUUAUAUUUUCCCUUAGUUGUUUUCUUAUACUGAUACGCUGUCCUUGGUCUUCAAAGGAAAGCUGAAUAUCAUCCCAAAUAAUAUUAGCUCCAUGGAUGAGCUACUGUGUUAACACACUGCUAUUAUAACCAAGAUAUAUUCCCAACUUUUAGGCCCUCACAGUGAAAUGAAGGAACUAAUAUAAUAAGAUAGACUCAGUAAAGCUAAAAUUGUAAUACCUUUUUAAAAUAGAGGAAUCAUUGUAUGAAAAUAAAUGAUAACCAUGCUGUUGUACAACAUUGGGUUAAAAAUUUACAGAUGGUUUAAAUAAAAUGAAUUUUUGAUCUCUUCACCCAUGUGAUUAAGUAAUAAAACUGUUUCAUGUAAUGUAAUCUGCAUUAGCUAACUUCAACUGUGUUGCUGGAUUUUAUUUCACUUGAAUUUGCAUACUUAACUUCUCUGCCAGACUCUAUAAAGAAAACCAGUAAGUAAUAAUAAUAAUGUACAUGGAUCACAAAGAGUCAGACAUGACUGAGCAACUGAGAACACACAUGGUGGUUACAUACAACAAGGGUAUGUAUCCCUUGUUACAUGUAUAUGUUACAAAAUCACCAAUGCUGUAACAAAAAGAAAACCAAUAAACUAGGUUACUACAUGAAUACAGGAUCUUAAUUUUAUUUUCUUAAAUCUAAAUUCCACAUGUCUAGUAUAGAUUUCUCCUUAGAACAAUUUCCCCAAACAGAUUAAAACAAGAAUGCUUAAUUGUGUGAAAUGCUUCUGUGUUAUAUAUUGACAGAUCCGACUGUUAGGUAAUUUUACACAAAAAUAUUGCCUUCACAGAAUACUUUUAACAAAG
Dama dama (fallow deer) is the source of this 3347-nucleotide long non-coding RNA. RefSeq lists it as uncharacterized. Lineage: Eukaryota; Metazoa; Chordata; Mammalia; Artiodactyla; Cervidae. The record is from RefSeq and is a predicted model, not a curated record. The transcript is spliced from 3 exons.